Hevea brasiliensis (rubber tree) is the source of this 85-nucleotide small nucleolar RNA. RefSeq annotates it as small nucleolar RNA R160. The transcript has a single exon. NCBI's taxonomy places the organism in Eukaryota, Viridiplantae, Streptophyta, Magnoliopsida, Malpighiales, Euphorbiaceae. The record is from RefSeq and is a predicted model, not a curated record.
AGCGAAAAUGAUGAUUUCUUUUGAAUCUGAAUUUAGGUGUGGAAUCGCAUCUCGUCGUAUUGGUCUUCAAAGUUCUCUGAUUGCU